RNAcentral lists this ribosomal RNA (253 nucleotides) under uncultured bacterium. RNAcentral describes it as "partial 16S ribosomal RNA". It matches the Rfam family "Bacterial small subunit ribosomal RNA", at positions 524 to 777 of the family's 1533-position model. The record is from RNAcentral.
UACGUAGGGGCCUAGCGUCUCCGGAAUUAUUGGGCGUAAAGAGCGUGUAGGCGGCUUUACAGGUCCGUUGUGAAAACUCGAGGCUCAACCUCGAGACGCCGGUGGAAACCGUAAGGCUAGAGUCCGGAAGAGGAGAGUGGAAUUCCUGGUGUAGCGGUGAAAUGCGCAGAUAUCAGGAAGAACACCCGUGGCGAAGGCGGCCCACUGGGCCGGUACUGACGCUGAGGCGCGAAGGCGUGGGGAGCGAACGGGG